GGGGUUAUAGCUCAGUGUUAGAGCCCAUGCUUAGCAUGCAUUGAGGUCACGGGUUCGAUCCCGAGUACCUCUG
RNAcentral lists this transfer RNA (73 nucleotides) under Camelus bactrianus (Bactrian camel). It matches the Rfam family "tRNA". From Rfam's summary of the family: Transfer RNA (tRNA) molecules are approximately 80 nucleotides in length. Their secondary structure includes four short double-helical elements and three loops (D, anti-codon, and T loops). Lineage: Eukaryota; Metazoa; Chordata; Mammalia; Artiodactyla; Camelidae. The record is from Rfam by way of RNAcentral. RNAcentral also lists the same sequence under 1 other name.